RNAcentral lists this ribosomal RNA (725 nucleotides) under uncultured bacterium. RNAcentral's name for it is "bacterial SSU rRNA". It matches the Rfam family "Bacterial small subunit ribosomal RNA", at positions 771 to 1501 of the family's 1533-position model. The record is from RNAcentral.
AACAGGAUUAGAUACCCUGGUAGUCCACGCCCUAAACGAUGUCAACUGGUUGUUGGACGGCUUGCUGUUCAGUAACGAAGCUAACGCGUGAAGUUGACCGCCUGGGGAGUACGGCCGCAAGGUUGAAACGCAAAGGAAUUGACGGGGACCCGCACAGGCGGUGGAUGAUGUGGUUUAAUUCGAUGCAACGCGAAAAACCUUACCUACCCUUGACAUGUCAAGAACUUGCCAGAGAUGGCUCGGUGCUCGAAAGAGAACUUGAACACAGGUGCUGCAUGGCCGUCGUCAGCUCGUGUCGUGAGAUGUUGGGUUAAGUCCCGCAACGAGCGCAACCCUUAUCAUUAGUUGCUACGCAAGGGCACUCUAAUGAGACUGCCGGUGACAAACCGGAGGAAGGUGGGGAUGACGUCAGGUCAUCAUGGCCCUUAUGGGUAGGGUUACACACGUCAUACAAUGGCCGGUACAGAGGGCUGCCAACCCGCGAGGGGGAGCUAAUCUCAGAAAACCGGUCGUAGUCCGGAUCGCAGUCUGCAACUCGACUGCGUGAAGUCGGAAUCGCUAGUAAUCGCGGAUCAGCUUGCCGCGGUGAAUACGUUCCCGGGUCUUGUACACACCGCCCGUCACACCAUGGGAGCGGGUUCCGCCAGAAGUAGUUAGCUUAACCGCAAGGAGGGCGAUUACCACGGCAGGGUUCGUGACUGGGGUGAAGUCGUAACAAGGUAACC